UAGGGAAUCUUCCGCAAUGGACGCAAGUCUGACGGAGCAACGCCGCGUGAGUGAAGAAGGUUUUCGGAUCGUAAAACUCUGUUGUAAGAGAAGAACAAAUUGUAGAGUAACUGCUACAGUCUUGACGGUAUCUUACCAGAAAGCCACGGCUAACUACGUGCCAGCAGCCGCGGUAAUACGUAGGUGGCAAGCGUUGUCCGGAAUUAUUGGGCGUAAAGCGCGCGCAGGUGGUUUAGAAAGUCUGAUGUGAAAGCCCACGGCUCAACCGUGGAGGGUCAUUGGAAACUAAUAAACUUGAGUGCAGGAGAGAAAAGUGGAAUUCCUAGUGUAGCGGUGAAAUGCGUAGAGAUUAGGAGGAACACCGGUGGCGAAAGCGGCUUUUUGGCCUGCAACUGACACUGAGGCGCGAAAGCGUGGGGAGCAAACAGG
This 429-nucleotide ribosomal RNA is filed under the name Verrucomicrobiota bacterium. RNAcentral's name for it is "Verrucomicrobia bacterium partial 16S ribosomal RNA". It matches the Rfam family "Bacterial small subunit ribosomal RNA", at positions 355 to 776 of the family's 1533-position model. Lineage: Bacteria; Pseudomonadati; Verrucomicrobiota. The record is from RNAcentral.